Molecule: ribosomal RNA, 542 nt
Filed under: Bacillus sonorensis
Lineage: Bacteria; Bacillati; Bacillota; Bacilli; Caryophanales; Bacillaceae
Description: bacterial SSU rRNA
Rfam family: Bacterial small subunit ribosomal RNA
Source: RNAcentral
GGAGCUUGCUCCCUGAUGUUAGCGGCGGACGGGUGAGUAACACGUGGGUAACCUGCCUGUAAGACUGGGAUAACUCCGGGAAACCGGGGCUAAUACCGGAUGCUUGAUUGAACCGCAUGGUUCAAUUAUAAAAGGUGGCUUUUAGCUACCACUUACAGAUGGACCCGCGGCGCAUUAGCUAGUUGGUGAGGUAACGGCUCACCAAGGCAACGAUGCGUAGCCGACCUGAGAGGGUGAUCGGCCACACUGGGACUGAGACACGGCCCAGACUCCUACGGGAGGCAGCAGUAGGGAAUCUUCCGCAAUGGACGAAAGUCUGACGGAGCAACGCCGCGUGAGUGAUGAAGGUUUUCGGAUCGUAAAACUCUGUUGUUAGGGAAGAACAAGUACCGUUCGAAUAGGGCGGUACCUUGACGGUACCUAACCAGAAAGCCACGGCUAACUACGUGCCAGCAGCCGCGGUAAUACGUAGGUGGCAAGCGUUGUCCGGAAUUAUUGGGCGUAAAGCGCGCGCAGGCGGUUUCUUAAGUCUGAUGUGAAAG